ACUCCUACGGGAGGCAGCAGUAGGGAAUCUUCCACAAUGGGCGCAAGCCUGAUGGAGCAACACCGCGUGAGUGAAGAAGGGUUUCGGCUCGUAAAGCUCUGUUGUUAAAGAAGAACACGUAUGAGAGUAACUGUUCAUACGUUGACGGUAUUUAACCAGAAAGUCACGGCUAACUACGUGCCAGCAGCCGCGGUAAUACGUAGGUGGCAAGCGUUAUCCGGAUUUAUUGGGCGUAAAGAGAGUGCAGGCGGUUUUCUAAGUCUGAUGUGAAAGCCUUCGGCUUAACCGGAGAAGUGCAUCGGAAACUGGAUAACUUGAGUGCAGAAGAGGUAGUGGAACUCCAUGUGUAGCGGUGGAAUGCGUAGAUAUAUGGAAGAACACCAGUGGCGAAGGCGGCUACCUGGUCUGCAACUGACGCUGAGACUCGAAAGCAUGGGUAGCGAACAGGAUUAGAUA
Molecule: ribosomal RNA, 456 nt
Filed under: uncultured bacterium
Lineage: Bacteria
Description: bacterial SSU rRNA
Rfam family: Bacterial small subunit ribosomal RNA
Source: RNAcentral